This 911-nucleotide long non-coding RNA is filed under the name Rattus norvegicus (Norway rat). RNAcentral describes it as "long non-coding RNA NONRATT001963". The record is from RNAcentral. Lineage: Eukaryota; Metazoa; Chordata; Mammalia; Rodentia; Muridae.
UAGUUUUCAAAGACCAUGCCACAAUAAAAAUUACUCCAAGGCAAGCUGAGGUUCAGUGAGUAUUAGAAGUGCAUUUGAAGGUAGGAACUACCUACUCUGUAACCUGUCAGAGAAUCAAGAAUUUCCUUCUUUUUUGUGUUCUUCUUGGGUGCCGUGGCCUUGGCCCGGUCUAAUGUAGCUUGGCUGCAGACUAAUCUUUUGUAUCAUUUCUUGCAGAUAGUACUUCCAUGGACAAGUCCCUGUCAAAACUGACCCAUGCUGGUGGAGAGCAGACAUCAAUCAUCCCUGUCCAUCAGGUUAUUGAUAAGGUCAAGGGUUACUGUAAUGCUCAUUCUGAUAACUUCUAUAAAAAUAUCAUCCUGUCAGAUGCCUUCAGCCACAGCACAAAGUUUUAAUGUCAUUGACAGGGGAAACAAAGGGGAAAGAAAACCUGUCUGGAGAAGUGUGAUGCUGGACAAGCAGCAAAAGCUACGCCCAAGGGAUGACAGUGUGCUGCUCCAUAGGAAACUCCAGAGCUUAGAGGACCUACUACAUCUUGUUAGGGAAGCAUCUGUGAGAUGCAGAAUUUAUCUGUUUUUGGAUUGCUUCUGUGGGCAAGCUCAGAUAUCACACUUCAGAACUGAGAACACUCUGAGCCCUGCAAGGAUACGGGACUUUUCAGAAUGCAAUUGAAUCAAACUCAUCAGAAUGAGAGGAAAGGCAUUAAAAUUAAAGGCUAUGAGAGGAAGAAAUUCGACUUCAGACCUCUUAUACCACACCUCAUUGUUAGGCUCGGAUGUGGCCUGACUCUCAUAAAGGUGUUGUAGAAAACACACUAAUUCCUGUUUGUGGUGACUUUGGAUGCUCACGGGCUCUGCUCCAAUGCUAUUUUCUAUGAAUAUAGCAGCAUCUUUUCCUUUUUCGGUAAAAUU